CAGAGAGGUAGAGCCACAGCUCGGAGAAGUAAUUCAGACGAACCACCACCGCAGUUGCGCUCCACACCCGCCCUUGCCUACCCGCCGACGCACCGGGAAGAGAGAGGACACCAUGAGAAAGAGACAGGGGAGAGGGCAGCAGAGACCUCGACCUGCGCCGCCGGCCCUUGGUUGGGCGGCGGAGAUGAGACACGCGCGCUGGCUCCAAUGGCGAGCGUCAUGGAGGUGUUCGACAAAAUGUCUUUAAGAGGCCAAGGCGUGUGCUACGCUGGAGUCGUGACUACGUGAUCCUGGAGGUGGUGAAGUCACCCUUACCACGAAGGAAACAGAGGCCAAUUAGGCGCUUCUUGCCCUAUCAUGAACUAAUUCAUUGCUUGUUUCUAAUAUUGAUUGCUUAUUCACAUGUUGUAUGAUCUACCCAUAAUUAUCCAUUACCGUACAAUUAGGCGUAUAUGCAUCGUCAUGGAUGAAUUGAAUUUGAUGGUUUGUUUACACGAUGACGACGACAGGGUCUUAUUGGACGAUUUGGCUCCUCAAACAAGAGGACCACUACCGUACUCAAACACGCCUAUGGCAUCCUCAAACCAUCCAGGAUGACUCUUCUUCUUGGACCUCCUUCUUCAGGGAAGAGCACGCUUAUGCGAGCCCUUACAGGGAAGCUUGAAAAAAGCCUCAAGGUAUCUGGCAGCAUCACAUAUUGUUGUCAUACUUUUUCCGAGUUCUACCCUGAGAGGACCAGUGCGUAUGUCAGUCAGUAUGAUCUCCACAAUGCGGAGAUGACUGUAAGAGAGACAUUAGAUUUCUCCAGGCGAUGCUUGGGUAUCGGUGCCAGAUAUGACAUGCUUGCGGAG
Triticum aestivum (bread wheat) is the source of this 851-nucleotide long non-coding RNA. RefSeq lists it as uncharacterized. The transcript is spliced from 3 exons. Lineage: Eukaryota; Viridiplantae; Streptophyta; Magnoliopsida; Poales; Poaceae. The record is from RefSeq and is a predicted model, not a curated record.